RNAcentral lists this long non-coding RNA (5468 nucleotides) under Dicentrarchus labrax (European seabass). Its description in RNAcentral is "lncRNA (ENSDLAG00005027146.1)". The record is from RNAcentral. Lineage: Eukaryota; Metazoa; Chordata; Actinopteri; Moronidae.
GUCAGCAGGGAUUUUUCCGGUUCGCGUCUGAUUGGCUGGUUGUGGGUGUUGACGUCACGGCCCUGCCAGCUGAUCGGAGUGAGAAGCCGGUUUGAAGAGAGGAGUUGGCCCGGAGAGAUAGACCGGGGAGGGAGCCCCUAGGAGCAGCGAGCAGCACGGGGUGGGACCGGAUACUCAGAUUGGACCAUUUUAACAUUUCUUUUUAAACGUUAACACCGGAGUGCAACGAGACACACAAAGCGACAGUCUUGUCAGGGGUGAACUUGCGGGCUUUCGCGUCUCGUCGAAACCUCUGGAGCUGUCAGAGAAAAAUUGAUUGAGAGUUAAGGUGUGGCUGUGGGUUUCUGUAAGGCUUUCUGCUCUGAAAAAAAAUGUUACAGAACCGACUGUUUCUGCUCGGGAGUUGCCAUCUGAGCCGAGACUCUUAUAUCUACCAAUGGUUUUAAAGAUUCUGUACAGUCAUUUUCAUCAAGGGAGAUAUUACAUAACAAAUGUAUUGCCAUCUUGAUGUGCGCACCUUUUGGCUUAAAUCCCUUCGCUGUAGUCAGAUUAAUUGGACCAUUACGCAGUUAAGAAGUAAGUAGAGUGUGUUUUUUUUUACUGCUUGGCAGGUCGUUUUGCUUUCAUAAGUCUGUGAAACGUAACGGACGUGGCAACUUUACAGUAGCCAGCCCUGCUGAAUGCCACAGACAAACUGGGCGUGGGGGAAACAGUCCGAACAGAGCCUAAUAAUCCUCAAAUCUCAUCCACGCACGGCCACUAAAUUGCGCAUAUUAGAGGUAGUAUCGCCACUCGGCCGAGCGCCUCGGCGGACCCAGUGGAUUUACCUGAACCAAAUAUCUCCAGGUGCCCACACUAGAUCUGCUUUUAACCAACUUUCGACCAUGGCAUCAGGAUCUACUUCCAGGAGUCUAGAGGUGAUAAUUGGUGGAGGGAAUCGGCCUGUGAGUGCAUUAAGAGAUUGUGGAAGGAGGGGAUGCAUGAGGAGGAGAAGCACCUGCAAUGUGCCACACCCGUGCCGCUAGACCUGGGUGGCCUGUACCUGUGCCUGUGCCAGCUGCUGUGCCAGCUGUGCAGGGGUGAGCGAGCAGAACAGCAUCACAGAAAGAGGUGAACAGACAGCUGCUGCAAACAGAGAGAUGGAGAAGCAUCAAUAAAGGAGGACUGAGUCAGCCUACACACCAUCAAUCAUAAUAUAUUCAUUACUGGCUCACAGUUAUGUUACAGCAUAAAACUUCUCAUUAAGUUGAAAGCAUUUAGAAUUGGAAUUAGGGGCUGUAUAAUAUGUACUUUGCUGUGUCAUGCACUUGCAAAUGUUUUAUAAUUACAGAAAUUGUGUCUGUUUCCAUUUUUCAACAUUAUUUUGAAUUUCUUGCAUUUGACUCGUGGUUCAGAGUCACAUGGCGAAAGGUGAACUACAGCACUUCGGUGUUCCGGGCUCGAGGCUUAUAGACUUAACUAACUUCCUACAGCCCCCUUCCUUGUUUGGAGACAUACAUUAUACUGCCAGAGGGAACAUAAACAAUAAUCUUCUUAAGGUGUGAGCUGCUCUGAGCAGUAAUAGCAAGUCCUUACUCAAGCAAUUUACUGUAUAUGAAGUUGAGAUAGUGACUAGUACUGUAUCGUAAUGCGGUACUGUACAGUACUGUACCGUAAUCAGAUCCCAACGCCAUGUUCUCAAUUCACUUCACUAGCAGAAAACAGCCUCUUUACAGUGUGCAACUGUAACCUAGAAUAGACAAAAGAACAGGUGAAACAUUAACAGUGGCUCCUUUAGGUGUGAGCUAUAUCAGUAUUCAUAGAAGAGACCUGGGACCUCCAUAGAAAGCCAUAGCUCAUGGUUUUGAUAACAGUUUUGCUUUCAUGCUAUGGCGUGUUAAAAUGUUGCUAUUGGCUGAAGGUUGGUUUGCAUUUUUAGUUCACUGUUGUUACUCAUUUGAAAUGGUUAUGAAAGCCUUAUUUCUUAGUUUUUUUAAAGCAAAAAUAUCUUCUUUUUUGAGGGAAUUUUACUAAUAUAGUUUGGAAAAUGUAAUACCAGUCACAUCAUUGCACAGCAUGUAUCGACAUCAGGCCAUUGACUUUGACCCCUAACUGUUAGUAGAUUAACUUUGUCUGUUCAAAGUCCUCCGACCCUCACAGAGAAGGUCACAGACAUUUUCUGAAGAAGAUUAAUCGAAUUCUGUUCUCUAUCUGCUGUAGAGAUAUUCUCCCUCAGGACAUCUAUUUAAGAUGUGAUCUAUGUGCCUUAUCACUAGCUUUCAAUAUAAUGGCUAAUGGAGUGAUAGAUGAUGUGUUUGAGCGUACUUUGAAAUAGAAAGUCCGAGAACAAAGCGCUAAUGGACAAGAUGCACAUAUCCUAGAUUUGGCAGGAUGGAAUAAAUUGCAAAUAAGUGGAGUUCUUUUUUCUUUUAGACUAAAGUAUUCUCUGGUGUGGUGUCUGCUGUCCAGCCCUUGUUCACCUCUUAAGUCAAAGCAGGAAGAAGCUCCAAGGCCAGGUCUGAAGAGGUUUACAAACCUCUCCUAAAUUCUUCCCUGUGGGUAAAAUCAUGUGAAAGCUGCUUAGGCAGAUUAUCCCUGCCUCGACGGCAGCUGGCAGCGAGAUCCUUGGGAGUGCACCUGACUCAAUACUGGUGGUGACGCAACCACAGCCUGUGGCACAGCGUGCUCCAACAAUCCUCUGUGGCCUUUAGCCCCUGAGGGAAAAGUGCAUCUUGUGGUUUAAAGCAAGCAGGAACUAAAUAGGAGAUCACACACACACACACAUAAUGCGCUGAUCCAAAUGCAAGUGAUCUGAUUACUCAAAAUUUUGAAAUGUUUAAUCUGUUAUAGAUAAAGCAUGAUAAAAAAAGUUAUUAUAUUGUUCAGGAAUGUGUUUUAACUCAUUUAGAUUGUGUAAUAAUUAUGGAUAAAUAUUACAAUUCUAAGUGAUUGUGCGUAAGUGGUGCUUAAUUAGUGUUUAAGCUUGUGUAUUUUAUAUUUCUGGUAUUAUUAAAUAAUAUAACACCGACAACCAUCCCUGUUUCCUGGACUUAUUUCCAUCAUUGUCCCUGGUAUUUACACAUUCUAAUAACCUUAAUCAAGACGGAGACAAACAAAAAGAGUCAAUUUACUGCAAAAGUGAGAUAUAUUAGAAGAUAAGAACAAAGAACGACAAAUCUGAAUCAUAUGAGCGAACAAUGAAUGAAAUCCUGCAGAUUUGUAGCAUCAGCACUAUUCACUCAACCCAUUGUUUAUUGCGACAAACAAAUCAAAUGUGAUUAUAUGAGCUCUCCAGCUCCCUUUUUAAGGUGUCAUAUACAAUAAUAGUAUUGUAUGGUGAGCCAACUGUACUGUAUUUUGUCCUUCGUAAUCUUAAAAUAUUAAAAGUCUCAAUUCAUGUAAGGUAGCUGCUUUAGGACACUUUAAAUCUGGGUGAGGGAAUUUUGUCCAUGCAUGCUCAAAUAUGCCAGGAACUGGCAAUUGGAUGGAAAGUGUCAUUUUUCUAAAUUAGGUGUAGGCAUAAGUAGAAGAAUGGUCUCCUUCCAAGUAGAUUUUAAUGAGGUCCCAGGUGCACUGUCACCUCAUGAAAACACAAUGCUCUAAUAAAAUCCAUGUCCUAUCACACUCAGCCACUGAAGCAAGUUUUAUUAAAAAAUGAAGGGACUUCAAUUUCAGUGCUUCAGGAGUCCUUGCCAUGUAGAAAGAAAUAUCAGUGGCAGAGCAAUUGGUUUGCUGAAGUGAGAAAUACUUUUUCUUUUCAGUUGAUGCAGAGGUAAACUAUGGUGCUUGGAGCUGUUGGAAUACUCUUCAUUCCUGAAAAACUACAAUUUCAGGGACCAUUACACAGCCCACAAAGCUAAAUAUACCAAACGCAGUGUCUAGACAACAGCUGCAGUCUUUGAUUUAAAAACUAAAAAAGUCUAUUUUUUCUGUGAAUCACAUGAAUUUAAAAACAGAUUAAUGCAAAGAGGAACCACGGCUCAUUCUUGGAGGACAAGAUGGUGAUAGAAGAGACAUAACUGCUGGGUGAUGGCUAAAAACUAUAAGUCUGACCUUUGUCAGUUUAACGAAGUAUAAAGCUGUCAGGAACCCAAAAUAUAAGAAAAGUAAUACAGACACAAAAAUAAAUGUACAAAUCCUUUGUGAUAAUCACUCAAAAUAUUAUUGUUUCACUAUUCAUACACACGUGUGUGUAUGUAUAUAUGGCAUUGCAAAUCACUGAAAAUGUAAAUAAAACACAGUUUUAAACAUGUCUUUUAAAAUAAAAUGUGUUACAGUUUACACACAUAUAUAAAACAUCUGCUGAAGAAUAGACAGACUCCAGAGGGUUCUCUCUGUUUUCUGAAAAAAAGAAAAAAAGAGUACCAAUGCUUUUGAAAUAAACACAUUGAUUUAUUAGGAGUAUUCACUUGCUUGAUCUAGCAAACUUUGUGAAAUGUACAAAAAUGUCAGCAACUCGCUCAUGAGAAUUGAAGUGUAAUUGUAUAAAUGUCAGUGAAAUGUGACAUGUGGUGAGGUCUGUUUUGUAUCAUACUGUCUGUCUUCAGGAUUGUACAGUUUUAUUUUAAAUGUAGGAAAUGUAUCACUGCGGUCUUCUGUUUUGUCUCAUGCAACCGUGUGGCUUCGAUAGAUGAACAAUGAAUAAAGCAAUUUACUGAAACAGUCAAUACUGUAACUGUCUUUAGAGCUUUUUGUCAUAUUUAACUGUGUAAUAGACAUGAUCAUAAAUCAUAUGAGGAACCACAGUAUAAGGAGCACAUUACUGGCACCAGUCUCUGCAAAAAUUGUUCUAGCCUUCAUAAACCUAAGGCAAAGUAAUCUUGUUUGAUUUUGUCAUGAAUGUUUUGAAUGUGGAAACCCAACAGGUGAAAAUACAAUCAGGGACAAGUCAGAAAAAGAAGGAUAGGUUGAGCAGACGUUGGAUUUGCAUCAAAAUCAGAUUUUUAACCCUACAUUUCUAGUAACACAGUUGUCUAAUGCUGAUUCAAAGAUGAAAAUGUCAUCACAGCAAAUGUGUCACAAAAAGGUGCAAACUGGGAUUUGAAAACCAAUGUACAUCCAGGGAUUGAAAGAUUACGAAGUAGCCUACACCCACUUACCACUGUGCCUAAGCCAGAAAGCAUCCUGUCUCAAAGGGGCCCCUACCCGUGAUGUGUUCUACACAUUGCAGCCGAUACUUGGCCGGCACUGAGCUCCCAAAAUAGAUAGUAGUUCCAGAUAGGUGGGCUGUGAGGCGAAAGAGAGAGAAAGUGGGAAUGCAGUGAGAGUGGGACGCAGGAUAGUGUAACAAAAGGAAAGAGAACCGGUAUUGUGUGUCUGCAAUCUGCUGCCUGCACCCUGCACUCCUAAUUCACUGUGUGUGUGUGUGUGUGUGUGUGUGUGUGUGUGUGUGUGUGUGUGUGUGUGUGUGUGUGUGUGUGUGUGUGUGUGUGUGUGUGUGUGUGUGUGUGUGUGUGUGUUUGUGUGUGUGGCUGGUGACGUCAGCAAAG